AGAACGAACGCUGGCGGCAGGCUUAACACAUGCAAGUCGAACGGGUGUAGCAAUACAUCAGUGGCAGACGGGUGAGUAACACGUGGGAACCUUCCUAGGGGUACGGAACAACUCAGGGAAACUUGAGCUAAUACCGUAUACGUCCGUAAGGAGAAAGAUUCAUCGCCCCUAGACGGGCCCGCGUCGGAUUAGGUAGUUGGUGGGGUAACGGCCUACCAAGCCUACGAUCCGUAGCUGAUCUGAGAGGAUGAUCAGCCACACUGGGACUGAGACACGGCCCAGACUCCUACGGGAGGCAGCAGUGGGGAAUCUUGGACAAUGGGCGCAAGCCUGAUCCAGCCAUGCCGCGUGAGUGAAGAAGGCCUUAGGGUUGUAAAGCUCUUUUACCAGGGACGAUAAUGACGGUACCUGGAGAAUAAGCCCCGGCAAACUUCGUGCCAGCAGCCGC
This 448-nucleotide ribosomal RNA is filed under the name uncultured bacterium. RNAcentral's name for it is "SSU rRNA". It matches the Rfam family "Bacterial small subunit ribosomal RNA", at positions 26 to 518 of the family's 1533-position model. The record is from RNAcentral.